Molecule: long non-coding RNA, 762 nt
Organism: Amphimedon queenslandica
Lineage: Eukaryota; Metazoa; Porifera; Demospongiae; Haplosclerida; Niphatidae
Exons: 3
Source: RefSeq, a predicted model, not a curated record
UAAGUCUAAUGUAGAAUAGACAUAUCAUAACUGAUUCAUGAUAAUGUUGAUUACAGUCUUCUUAUGUCAACUGUCACAUUUUGCUGCAAUUGUAUUGUUAAAUUGGAAGAGAUUUAGGGAAGAUUAAAGAAUGGCAAUUAAUAUUGUUUUCUUAGGCAGUUUUGUUGUAUUUUAAUUGAUGCUUCACUGUCUGAUUAUUUUGAAUGUUGUUGUUGCAACUUGCAGGUCAACCCAUUCGCAAGACAAAUGUUAUCAAAUUGUUUUUAAAGUCCUGACAUUGAAAGUGAAAGUAUAUGAAUAGUCAAUCCUAGGGAAUACCAUUACCAACAGGAGUACAAUUGUGUGAUUGUCUGUAUCCUGAACCUUGUGAUAAUUAUUACUAUCCAAGAUGACUAUGAGAAGUUACUAACUCGUGAUAUUAAUGUCCAAUUCCUUCAAGUACUGGCCCCAGGUGUUGUCCAUCCUAAUCGCUCCUCCAACAAGACUGGUAGUGCCACUAAUGUGUAUCCUUCAGCUGGUACUCCUUCUGGUGACAAAUCACUCGCCGAUGGGGUGGGCAUUAAUAAGAGAUUCAGAAUGGAGGAUUUAGGACUCGUCUGGGAGACGGUAGAAUCACUGCAUCACUUCUUAUAUCCAGAUGGUUGUCAGUUGUAUGCUACUGAGAGGGAGCCAGCCUGUGUUCCUGUUGUCCUUACUAAUAUCCUUGGUACUCGUACUUAUGCGAUGGCUAUCAAGUUCACACGUCCAUUCUUCAUUGAAAAG